This 497-nucleotide ribosomal RNA is filed under the name uncultured bacterium. Its description in RNAcentral is "partial 16S ribosomal RNA". It matches the Rfam family "Bacterial small subunit ribosomal RNA", at positions 28 to 507 of the family's 1533-position model. The record is from RNAcentral.
GAUGAACGCUGGCGGCGUGCCUAAUACAUGCAAGUCGAGCGAACAGAUGAGGAGCUUGCUCCUCUGACGUUAGCGGCGGACGGGUGAGUAACACGUGGAUAACCUACCUAUAAGACUGGGAUAACCUCGGGAAACCGGAGCUAAUACCGGAUAAUAUAUUGAACCGCAUGGUUCAAUAGUGAAAGACGGUUUUGCUGUCACUUAUAGAUGGAUCCGCGCCGCAUUGGCUAGUUGGUAAGGUAACGGCUUACCAAGGCAACGAUGCGUAGCCGACCUGAGAGGGUGAUCGGCCACACUGGAACUGAGACACGGUCCAGACUCCUACGGGAGGCAGCAGUAGGGAAUCUUCCGCAAUGGGCGAAAGCCUGACGGAGCAACGCCGCGUGAGUGAUGAAGGUCUUCGGAUCGUAAAACUCUGUUAUUAGGGAAGAACAAAUGUGUAAGUAACUAUGCACGUCUUGACGGUACCUAAUCAGAAAGCCACGGCUAACUACGUG